GACUGAGACACGGCCCAGACUCCUACGGGAGGCAGCAGUGGGGAAUAUUGCACAAUGGGCGCAAGCCUGAUGCAGCAACGCCGCGUGAGGGAUGACGGCCUUCGGGUUGUAAACCUCUUUUAGUAGGGAAGAAGCGAAAGUGACGGUACCUGCAGAAAAAGCACCGGCUAACUACGUGCCAGCAGCCGCGGUAAUACGUAGGGUGCAAGCGUUGUCCGGAAUUAUUGGGCGUAAAGAGCUCGUAGGCGGCUUGUCGCGUCUGCUGUGAAAUCCCGGGGCUCAACCCCGGGCCUGCAGUGGGUACGGGCAAGCUAGAGUGCGGUAGGGGAGAUUGGAAUUCCUGGUGUAGCGGUGGAAUGCGCAGAUAUCAGGAGGAACACCGAUGGCGAAGGCAGAUCUCUGGGCCGCUACUGACGCUGAGGAGCGAAAGCAUGGGGAGCGAACAGGAUUAGAUACCCUGGUAGUCCAUGCCGUAAACGUUGGGAACUAGAUGUAGGGCCUGUUCCACGGGUUCUGUGUCGUAGCUAACGCAUUAAGUUCCCCGCCUGGGGAGUACGGCCGCAAGGCUAAAACUCAAAGGAAUUGACGGGGGCCCGCACAAGCGGCGGAGCAUGCGGAUUAAUUCGAUGCAACGCGAAGAACCUUACCAAGGCUUGACAUAGCCGAGAACGCUGUAGAGAUACAGAACUCUUUGGACACUCGGUUACAGGUGGUG
Molecule: ribosomal RNA, 715 nt
Filed under: Leucobacter sp.
Lineage: Bacteria; Bacillati; Actinomycetota; Actinomycetes; Micrococcales; Microbacteriaceae
Description: bacterial SSU rRNA
Rfam family: Bacterial small subunit ribosomal RNA
Source: RNAcentral